GAUGAACGCUAGCUACAGGCUUAACACAUGCAAGUCGAGGGGUAGCAGGGUAGCAAUACCGCUGGCGACCGGCGCACGGGUGAGUAACACGUAUCCAACCUUCCCAUAACUCGGGGAUAGCCUUUCGAAAGAAAGAUUAAUACCCGAUAGUACUUUAUUAAGGCAUCUUAAGAAAGUUAAAGAUUUAUUGGUUAUGGAUGGGGAUGCGUUCCAUUAGAUAGUUGGUGAGGUAACGGCUCACCAAGUCUUCGAUGGAUAGGGGUUCUGAGAGGAAGGUCCCCCACAUUGGUACUGAGACACGGACCAAACUCCUACGGGAGGCAGCAGUGAGGAAUAUUGGUCAAUGGGCGAGAGCCUGAACCAGCCAAGUAGCGUGAAGGAUGAAGGUCCUAUGGAUUGUAAACUUCUUUUAUAGUAGAAUAAAGUGAACCACGUGUGGUUUUUUGUAUGUAUACUAUGAAUAAGGAUCGGCUAACUCCGUGCCAGCAGCCGCAGUAA
RNAcentral lists this ribosomal RNA (498 nucleotides) under uncultured bacterium. RNAcentral's name for it is "partial 16S ribosomal RNA". It matches the Rfam family "Bacterial small subunit ribosomal RNA", at positions 28 to 523 of the family's 1533-position model. The record is from RNAcentral.